ACGCUCGACACCUACGGGGGGCAGCAGUCGGGAAUAUUGCGCAAUGGAGGGAAACUCUGACGCAGUGACGCCGCGUAUAGGAAGAAGGUUUUCGGAUUGUAAACUAUUGUCGUUAGGGAAGAUACAAGACAGUACCUAAGGAGGAAGCACCGGCUAACUAUGUGCCAGCAGUCGCGGUAAUCUGAGCGGGCUGGCAAGGC
This 200-nucleotide ribosomal RNA is filed under the name uncultured bacterium. RNAcentral describes it as "partial 16S ribosomal RNA". It matches the Rfam family "Bacterial small subunit ribosomal RNA", at positions 328 to 539 of the family's 1533-position model. The record is from RNAcentral.